GAUAAGCAGGCACGUGAUGGUCAAUAUGUCUGCUUCGUCGUGAAGGCACUUUUGUCAUUUCUUGUGCUCCUGACAUAUUCACCCUAAUUUGCCAGGUAGAAAGCACCACUUCAAAUUUUCUUACAUCUCAAUUCUAUCUCCGUUGCAUUUCUGCUUCUGUUUAAUACCAAGCUCUCUGUUGUUCUUCUUCUCCAGCUUGCUAUCAACGAGUUUAUGAUUUGUAGUGAGAUGACAUGAAGAAUAAUGUAGCGUGGAACUGAACUUUGGACUUUUAUGUUUGUGAAGUGGACAAAAGUAAACUUUCUCCUCUACCAGUUAUUCACAUAAGGUCAUUGUAUACGGCCAAAAUCGGGCUCGUUCUUUGCUUGACUAAUCGAGACUAGAAUAUGAUAGAUUAAAGUCCGACCUCGAGUCAUAUCAAACCGAGAUGUGAAGUUAUAUUGCCAAGUUCGAGACCCCGGGACCGAACAAAGUCGAGAUCAGGCGAGAUCGAGAGAAACUUGCUGAGUCGGAUAACAGAAACAUGAAAUAUCCGCGAUCGAGCGUAGAUCACGGCAAAAAUCUUGGCAUGUAUCAAGGAUAGGCCGAUUAAUUAGCCAAUCAAGAGAUUUCUUGCUUCAUUUAGAACUGUAUCAAUAGUAGGACUCCCCUACUAUAUAAAGAGGGUAUGAUCAUUUGUAAAGGGGGCACU
Molecule: long non-coding RNA, 691 nt
Organism: Nicotiana tabacum (common tobacco)
Lineage: Eukaryota; Viridiplantae; Streptophyta; Magnoliopsida; Solanales; Solanaceae
Source: RefSeq, a predicted model, not a curated record